RNAcentral lists this ribosomal RNA (439 nucleotides) under uncultured bacterium. Its description in RNAcentral is "partial 16S ribosomal RNA". It matches the Rfam family "Bacterial small subunit ribosomal RNA", at positions 339 to 795 of the family's 1533-position model. The record is from RNAcentral.
CUACGGGUUGCUGCAGUGAGGAAUAUUGCACAAUGGGGGGAACCCUGAUGCAGCAACGCCGCGUGGAGGAUGACGCAUUUCGGUGUGUAAACUCCUUUUAUAUGUCAAGAAAAUGACGGUAGCAUAUGAAUAAGCACCGGCUAACUCCGUGCCAGCAGCCGCGGUAAUACGGAGGGUGCAAGCGUUACUCGGAAUCACUGGGCGUAAAGGACGCGUAGGCGGGAUAUCAAGUCAGGUGUGAAAUCCUACAGCUUAACUGUAGAACUGCACUUGAAACUGGUAACCUAGAGUAUGGGAGGGGGAGAUGGAAUUAGUGGUGUAGGGGUAAAAUCCGUAGAUAUCACUAGGAAUACCUAAAGCGAAGGCGAUCUCCUGGAACAUAACUGACGCUAAGGCGUGAAAGCGUGGGGAGCAAACAGGAUUAGAUACCCGAGUAGUC